CUCGUAGUUGGAUUUCUGGCAGGAGCGACCGGUCACACACUCUGUGUGUGAACUUGCGUUGUCUCUGGCCAUCCUUGGGAAGAUCCUGUUUGGCAUUAAGUUGUCGGGCAGGGGAUACCCAUCGUUUACUGUGAAAAAAUUAGAGUGUUUAAAGCAGGCUUAUGCCGUUGAAUAUAUUAGCAUGGAAUAAUAAGAUAGGACUUCGGAACUAUUUUGUUGGUUUGCGUUACGAGGUAAUGAUUAAUAGGGACAGUUGGGGGUAUUCGUAUUUCGUUGUCAGAGGUGAAAUUCUUGGAUUUCCGAAAGACGAACUACUGCGAAAGCAUUUACCAAGGAUGUUUUCAUUAAUCAAGAACGAAAGUUAGGGGAUCGAAGAUGAUUAGAU
RNAcentral lists this ribosomal RNA (385 nucleotides) under Arcocellulus sp. RCC5494. RNAcentral's name for it is "SSU rRNA". It matches the Rfam family "Eukaryotic small subunit ribosomal RNA", at positions 627 to 1013 of the family's 1831-position model. Lineage: Eukaryota; Bacillariophyta; Thalassiosirophyceae; Cymatosirales; Cymatosiraceae. The record is from RNAcentral.